UACAGAGGUCUCAAGCGUUGUUCGGAAUUACUGGGCGUAAAGCGCGUGUAGGUGGCGAGAUAAGUCGGGUGUGAAAUCCCUUGGCUUAACCAAGGAAGUGCAUUCGAUACUGUUUCGCUUGAGUAUCGGAGGGGUCGGCGGAAUUCCCGGUGUAGAGGUGAAAUUCGUAGAUAUCGGGAGGAACACCUGUGGCGAAGGCGGCCGACUGGACGAUCACUGACACUGAGACGCGAAAGCGUAGGUAGCAAACAGG
RNAcentral lists this ribosomal RNA (253 nucleotides) under uncultured bacterium. RNAcentral's name for it is "partial 16S ribosomal RNA". It matches the Rfam family "Bacterial small subunit ribosomal RNA", at positions 524 to 776 of the family's 1533-position model. The record is from RNAcentral.